GGGGGAUAUUGCACAAUGGGGGAAACCCUGAUGCAGCGACGCCGCGUGGAGGAAGAAGGUUUUCGGAUUGUAAACUCCUGUCGUUAGGGACGAUAAUGACGGUACCUAACAAGAAAGCACCGGCUAACUACGUGCCAGCAGCCGCGGUAAAACGUAGGUCACAAGCGUUGUCCGGAAUUACUGGGUGUAAAGGGAGCGCAGGCGGGCGAUCAAGUUGGAAGUGAAAUCCAUGGGCUCAACCCAUGAACUGCUUUCAAAACUGAUUGUCUUGAGUAGUGCAGAGGUAGGCGGAAUUCCCGGUGUAGCGGUGGAAUGCGUAGAUAUCGGGAGGAACACCAGUGGCGAAAGCGACCUACUGGGCACCAACUGACGCUGAGGCUCGAAAGUGUGGGUAGCAAACAGGAUUAGAUACCCUGGUAGUCCACACCGUAAACGAUGAUUACUAGGUGUUGGAGGAUUGACCCCUUCAGUGCCGCAGUUAACACAAUAAGUAAUCCACCUGGGGAGUACGACCGCAAGGUUGAAACUCAAAGGAAUUGACGGGGGCCCGCACAAGCAGUGGAGUAUGUGGUUUAAUUCGACGCAACGCGAAGAACCUUACCAAGUCUUGACAUCCUGCGACGGUGCUAGAAAUAGUAUUUUCCUUCGGGACGCAGAGACAGGUGGUGCAUGGUUGUCGUCAGCUCGUGUCGUGAGAUGUUGGGUUAAGUCCCGCAACGAGCGCAACCCUUAUGGUCAGUUACUACGCAAGAGGACUCUGGCCAGACUGCCGUUGACAAAACGGAGGAAGGUGGGGAUGACGUCAAAUCAUCAUGCCCUUUAUGACUUGGGCUACACACGUACUACAAUGGCGUUAAACAAAGAGAAGCAAGACCGCGAGGUGGAGCAAAACUCAGAAACAACGUCCCAGUUCGGACUGCAGGCUGCAACUCGCCUGCACGAAGUCGGAAUUGCUAGUAAUCGCAGAUCAGCAUGCUGCGGUGAAUACGUUCCCG
Molecule: ribosomal RNA, 995 nt
Filed under: uncultured bacterium
Lineage: Bacteria
Description: bacterial SSU rRNA
Rfam family: Bacterial small subunit ribosomal RNA
Source: RNAcentral